Oryctolagus cuniculus (rabbit) is the source of this 1896-nucleotide long non-coding RNA. RefSeq lists it as uncharacterized. The record is from RefSeq and is a predicted model, not a curated record. Lineage: Eukaryota; Metazoa; Chordata; Mammalia; Lagomorpha; Leporidae.
GCUCCAUCCAGGUCUCCAAUAUGGGUAACAGAUUUACAGGGGCCCAAGCACUUGGGCCAUAUUCUACUUCUUUCCCAGGCACAUUAGCAGGAAGCUGGAUUGGAACAGCUGGGAUUCAAACCAGAGUUCAUGUGGAAUGUUAGUGUCACAGACAUCAGCUUAACUUACUGUACCACCACACCAACUCCCGUGACCCCAUUGUAAAGGCUAGUAGUUUACUCUGAAAACUUUUAAAAUUGUGUCCCUAAGAUAUUGAGAACUUUGAAAUAUACAGGAAAGGUCAUGUAAAAUUUUAAAACAUUAGGUUGUAUCUAAUGUUGACAACUUCACACUUUAACCUAAAAUCUCUACAGGCAACAAUCAUGAACUUGACAAUGAAACCCCCAAAUUUCUCUAAACUUUGCAUACCUCUCAUCGCACUUUAUAACACAUUUUCAUUUUUCAGUCCCUCAACCUCCUGCACCUCAAAAUAGUCUAUCAGGCAAAGCAUUUGUUCCCUUUGAUUCUAUUUUUAGGAUGGCUUCCCUUCAGACAGGGCCAUUAGAGCAGCUGUGAGAGUUGAUCCUUGUUCAUCGGGGACUGAAAAAAAAAAGAAACCAAUCCUCACAUACAGUAGGCACCAGGACCCUCCUGAGCCACUCUGAAUGCAGCUGUAAGCAGCUCAAAGAUGUGGAGUCAUUAUGGCUGUCCAGAGAGGACUUCUUCUAAGGCUACUUCAGCUUUCCUGACCUUACAAAGGUCCAAGCACCCAUCACCUCUACUCUGUCUACAAAAGUCCUGGAGCACUUUUAGAAAAUAACAAUACCGGGGGCUGGAGCUGUGGCACAGGUUAAUCCUCCACCUGCAGUGCCGGCAUCCCAUAUGGGCACUGGUUCGAGUCCCUGCUGCUCCUCUUCCAAUCCAGCUCUCUGCUAUGGCCUGGGAAAGUAGUAGUAGAAGAUGGCCCAAGUGCUUGGACCCCUCCACCUGCAUGAGAGACCAGGAAGAAGCUCCUGGCUCCUGACUUCAGACUGGUGCAGCUCCCGCUGUUGUGGUCAUUUGGGGAGUGAACCAACAGAAGGAAGUCCUUUCUCUCUGUCCCUCCCUCUCACUGUCUGUAACUCUACCUCUCAAAUAAAUAAAAUCUUUUAAAAAAAAAGGAAGAUGAAAAUAGCAAUACCCGGGCUCCAUCUCCAAACAACUGAGCUAGAAUCACAGGGAUCUCUUGGGCCAGUGCUAAGGCACAGCAGGUUAAAGCCACAGCCUGCAGAGCCAGCGUCCCAAACAGGUGCUGGUUCUAGUCCCAGCUGCUCCACUUCUACGCCAGCUCCUUAUUAAUGCAGCUGGGAAAAUGAAAGAUGGCCCAAGUACUUGAACCUCUGCACCCAUGUGGGAAACCUGGAAGAAGCUCCUGGCUUUGGCCUGGCCCAGCCCUGGUCAUUGCAGCAAUUUGGGGAGUGAACUAGCGGAUGGAAGAUCUCUCUUUCUAACUCUGCCUUUCAAAUAAAUAAAUACUUUUAAAAAAUCUUAAAGAUCUCAAAGGGUGGUCUGCAGCCUCAACUGUUUUGGGGAAUGUGUUAGAAAUGCAGUAUCCAGGCCCAACCUAGACCCACUGCAUCAGUAUCUGCAUUUACAUGCAGAAGUUUCCCCUUAUCUGUGGCUUCAUUUUCUUUGGCUUCAGUUACCUAUAGUCAAUUGUAGUUUGAAAAUACUCAAUGGAAAAUUCCAGAAAUAUGCAAUUCAUAAGUUUUAAACGGCAAACUGUUCUGAGUAACAUAAUGAAAUUUCCCACUGUCCCACUCCACCCUGCCCGAGACACCUUUCAUCCAGUGUAUCCAAGCUAUAUCUGCUACAAGCCCAUUAGUCACUCAGUAGCUGUCUAGGUUAUCAGAUCUACUGUUGUGAUAUCACAGUGCU